CAGGGGCAGGGGUGAGUUGGCACAUCCAGCCUUAUGAGGUUUAUUCGCCCGGUGUGGCAGUCUUCUGACAUCCUUAGUGAUUUCAGAACAAUACUUCCCUUGGAUCUUCCUGUCCUGACCAGGACUGUUUAAGCACAGACGUUAUCUAAAACCAACUUGCACAUAUAUAUAUCUUUUUUUACACAUUUAAGAAAUCUUUCUUUUUUUUAUGUCGUAUAUUUUCAAUAUUUACCUUACCAAAAGAGGUGAUAAUUACCAGUUUUAGAAAUUUCUAGGAAUUAAGGAAAAGAAAAAAGAAUGCAUCAGUCAGAGGGGAAUGUGAUUUAGAGCCCAACCCCACUCACAUUUAUGUAGUGAUCACUCUGCACCAGGCACUGUUUUAAGCGUUUUGUAGAUAUUAAUACACUAAUCCUCACAAAAUCUCUAUGAAGUAGGCCAAUGCCAUUAUACAGACGAGAAACCAAAAUACAGAGUUAUUAAGUGACUUGCUCAGUAUCACACAGCUAGGAAGGGGCAGGCUUUGGUUAGUGAUUUCACUUUCUAAAACUGAUAAAGGAAAUGUGGUCGAGAAUUUCAAAGACCUCUCUGUAUCAUGUGUCCUGUGGAGGGGAAGUGGUUUGGGGUUUUUUGUUUUUUGUUUUUACAUUUAUUUAUUUAUUUGAGAGAGCGAGCAAGCAUGCAAGCGGGGCUGGGCGAGGGGCAGAGGGAGAGAGAGAAUCCCAAGCAGACUCCCUGCUGAGCACGAAGCCCGUCUCAGGGCUCGGUCUCACGUCCCUGAGACACGACCUGAGCCAAAAUCAAGAGUCGGACACUUAACUGACUGAGCCACCCAGGUGCCCCAGGGGAACCCAGCGGCUCUAGUUCUGGGGGCAUGGGUUUGUGAUCCUUGCGCCCCGCGAUCCUCUUCCCUUUCUCGCUAUUAGGUGACUGCUACGUUGCCUCACGUUGUAUAUACUUCUAUUGUGCAGGGAGCACCUUCAAUUAUUUCCUUUUCAUGCAUAGUCUAGUGUCUUGCCCUCCCUGCCCCCAACAAAGUUGUGCGUUCCUGCAGGAUCGGUCAGUCCUUCCUCAGCUUUUCAAUCCUUGGAGACUAGACCCUGCUCAGCACAGAGUGGGCCUUCAGUAAGGUUGGCUAGGUCCAGUUAAACAUUGCCAGGGUACAACCUAUAUGAUACGGACGGGCUUUUUAAAAUUCUCAGUUCACAUUUUCUGUUGUGGAAAGUGAAAUCGCUGAGCAGAACAUGAAUUAAUUCACUGUUUUCUUUGUAGAUCCAGGGAAGUUGGUAAGCAUCUCUUUGUAAAUGUAGGUCGAUACUCAGGAGUCACGUUGCUCCACUAAGAUGAAAUCAGUCCCAGGGGUUCUGUAAAGCCCAUUUUCUUUCUCUAAAGGCAUGGCUGAAGCAUGUUUUGGUCUCCAAAUGCUAACAUUUCUGGUGAAAAACAUUCUUCACCCAGAGAGACGUAUCAAAUACAGGGUUGGUUGGCAAGGGGUGAAGAUAUCUAAUAGAUUUGCACUUGAUGGAAUCUACCAAAAUGGUUAAUAUGCUUAUUUGAACCUUAAGCCAAAAUCGUCUCAUUUGUUACUGUCAUCAAAGUUAUUACUCUGAUCAUUCGAUAAUUAUCCUUUAGGACAGCAGUCAGUCUGUCCAGUUUUUUACCAAUGAAGUUUCCUCAAGGUCCCUUAGUUCCUAGAUCAGCAAGCCCUCCCCAUCCCUAAGGAGGGAUGGACAGUUGCCAGGCUGGUUAGUUGUGCCCCUCCCCCAGCCCCUACCCUACAAGGACCAUCAUACCCCUCCUCCUGUUGGGACCCCAGGAUGACCUGUCCCUCGAAAGUUACUAUGUUCCCAUGAAAACACGUUUAACUUCCUUUUAGUUGCAUAGAUUUUACCCCUCCGGAUCUAUCUCCAGAAGAAACAGCCAAGAGGUGAUUUUUAAAACCUCAAUGCCUGUAUUUAUGAAGUGUCUACUUAAUUACAAAGUCCUACGCUAAGCACUAUGGGAUGGUUCGUUUUGUUUUGUUUUUGUUUUUGUUUUAAGUGUAAGACAAUUCUGACCCUCUAGGAACUGAGAUAAAUCAUGAACGCAUUAAAAUUCAAAUACAAAAAUAGUUACCAUGGGCCAAGAGUCAGAGAGCUGAGUUACCUCUGGGCUUACCCUUAUCACUAGGUGUGUGAUGUGGGGCUAGUUGUUUAACUUCUUGGAGUCUGAGUUUCUUUGUGGUUAUAAGAGGGGUGAUAGGGCGCCUGGGUGGCUCAGUUGGUUAAGCUUCAGCUUAACUGCCUUCAGCUCAGGUCAUGAUCCUGGAGUCCUGGGAUCGAGUCCCGCAUCGGGCUCCCUGCUCAGCAGGGAGUCUGCUUCUCCCUCUGACCCUCCUCCCUCUCAGGCUAUCUGUCUCUCAUUCUCUCUCUCGCAAAUAAAUAAAAAAUCUUAAUAAAAAAAAAAUUAAAAAUUAAAAAAAAAAAAGAGGGGUGAUAACAACACAUACCUGCCAAGUGGUUAGGAGGAUUACAUUAAUAUAUGUGUGGCAAUAUUGUUGAUGACCCAUCUCCCAUUUCACCCGCAGCUGUGGUGGGCAGUUUCCAUAGGAAUUAGCUUCCCCCUGUUAUGGACUGAAUUCUGUUCCCACAAAAUCCACAUGCUAAAGCCCUAUUCCCCAGCGUGACUGCAUUUGGAGAAAGGGCCUCUGAAGAGAUAGUAAGGUUAAAGGCGGUCCUAAGGAUGGGACCCUAAUCCAAUAGGACUAGUGUCCUUAUGGGAGGAGAGGGAGACAUCAGCACUGUGCACACGCAGAGGACGUACCACGCGGGGACACAGCAGGAAGGCAGCCGUCCGCAAGCCACGGAGAGAGACCUCAGGAGAGACCAACCCUGCCAACACCCUGACUUCGGACUUCCAGCCUCCAGAACUGUACAAAAAUCAAUUUCUCUUUUUAGGCGCCCCCAGUCUGGGGUAUUUUGUUAUAGCAGCUUGAGCUGGCUAAGACACCCCCUCAAGCACUUCCAUCUCUCUGCCUCUCUGGGAGUGAUUUUUGGCACGUCCAGGAGCUUGUUCAGCCUUCAACAGGCCAAUCUGGAAGUGGGGGGAGUUAAGGCCUCCAGGGACACCCCUCAAACAGCAGCAGGAUGGGAGACCAUGGAAGAACGUCCCAGCCCCUGGUCGUCAGACGGAACAAUGCUGAGAUGGGGUGCUAUCUUUUCUCAGAAGGGCCCAGAAGGGUUGAGCCCCAACCCUCACAGCACCGACCCGUUCACUGAUGCAAACUUUAUCAGUUUUUCUCCCUCCCUGCCUUCCCGCCCCACACCUUCACUUGGGAUCACUUUCCAAAUAAACAACCUUCACACAAGUCCUUGAUUCGGGGUCUGCCUCUGGGGGAACACCAAACUCAAGUCCAGGGACAUAUUCACAUUAGCCUCUCUUAGUGAGCACCCCCUCCCCUAACAAAAAAGUGAAAACAAGAUUUAGCACCAGAAGACAGGUUACAAUGAAGCAAUGGGGUCUACUACAUGAACACCAGAGGCAAUACAGUAUUAGAGGAUUCAAGAGGAAAAAUCCAUUUUGACUCCCUGCUGAGCAAAUAGGAUCAUCUACCUAAAGCCCGAAGAGAUCUCAGCUCUCAGUUAGCUUACAAACUGUGACAUCACACAGACGAGGUUUCAAGGGCUGAAAAGAUCCCGACCUAGCCAGUGGUCGUACCCCAAACAGGAUGCUCUGGCCAAACGCCAGAGUGGCCACCCUGCGGACAUGCCCUCAAAGCUAUCAGGGGGAGCCCCCAUAAAUGUCCUAAGCUUGGGCGCCUGGGUGGCUCAGUCAUUUAAGCGUCUGCCUUCGGCUCAGGUCAUGAUCCCAGGUCCUGGGACCGAGCCCCGCAUCAGGCUCCCUGCUUGUCGGGAAGCCUGCUUCUCCCUCUCCCUCUGCCCCUCCCCACUGCUUAUGCUCUAUCUCUUGCUCGCUCUCAAAUAAAUAAAUAAGAAUCUUUAAAAAUGUUUAAAAAAAUAAAAAAGGUUGACCAAAAAAAAAAAAAUGUCCUAAGCAGAACUGGAGGUUUAUUUAGCAAAGUUCAGGAAAAAGGCAGAGCAGGUGUCUUGUCCCAAAAGUCCCCUCCAGAGGCCCCUUGAGAAAGAAUGUACCAGCUGCUACAUUUCCAGUCCCUUCCUUGACAUUUAUUGGCUUUUUUGAUGAAUGUGAGAGCGAUUUUUCUGUCAACAGCUUCUCAUUAGGGGCCUAGUGAUGUUCUUUCUGACCAUUAUUUUUCUCAGUAUCAUGCCUGGUCACUGGGAGGAGAAAAGGUUCCACUUAGCAUCCAUCCGUCUUUGCGGCAGCGGAGAGCCCAGCGGAUCCCACCGAAACACUCGCCUGCGCCCACAGCUGCCCCAGGGCGCGCAGAGAGUUUAGGCAGAUGGCCAGCCAUUAACGAAUGCCUCCUUCUCUGGCACCAUGCUUCUCCAUCCAUUCCUUUAAGGACAUAUUUCAGGACACUCCACCCUGAGACGCAAAGUACCCCAACCAAAAAGACUUCCCCCCUUCUUGUGACGCCUUCAUCCAUCUCAGUAUCCAGAUGAGGGUACCACGCGAUGGUCCCCAAGUCUCCCAGCCGGUAAGUGAUGGGAGCAGGGCCCCGACUUCGGUCACGGAACACCACGCCCCUGUCAGGACACAGAGAUCCCUGGUUCUCUUCCUCUUCCUGGGAGGGCACCCGUUCCCCUAGAUCAGAGAGUUUCACCCUUAUGAACGUAUUUAACCUCCAGCCCCUCCCAAAAGACCCUGGAAACCACCCCCCAUAUAGUCACACGAGGGCAGAGAGGCUUCCAUUUGGGGGUGACAACUGAGGGCAUAGCAGGUGGGCUGGUCAAACAAUUUACAGCCGGUAUAUUUUUAGUAUUUAAUUGCAAGGCUGUUCUCAACAAUCAAGGAGGAAAGGUGUAGUUCUCUGGGCAUUCUUUUCAAAACCUCACCUCUUCUCUGCCCUUUCGCUCCAAUGAACACAGAAUAUAAUGGCAGGAUACCUGACGGCAAUCUCUUCUCCCAUUGCUGGGGUGGGUGAGUAAUGGGAGUUAUUUCUGUUUCAGCCGGGGCGAGAUGCUGUGGGGUUGGGUUUGGCCUCUCGGUUUGGGUCUGAUUGGUUUGGUUUGCUUCUUUCUUCUUCUUUCCUACUCUGAGAACAAGAAGAGGUAGAAGGACUCCUGCCUAGGCAAGAAAUUCUCCACAAGUGACUAUAUUACUCGGCCGUUAACACGUCUCAGUGGUCUGGGCGUUUGCUGCAAGGCUGUAUUGCUCCACAGGGGACUCUGAUUCGGAAUAAUCCAUUUUAAGAGAAUUCAGGUUUUUUUGAAAGUGUAUUUAGUGGGUGCACACAAUGGCUGUGCUAACUGUAUUUGGUUCGGUCCGAC
Molecule: long non-coding RNA, 5387 nt
Organism: Mirounga angustirostris (Northern elephant seal)
Lineage: Eukaryota; Metazoa; Chordata; Mammalia; Carnivora; Phocidae
Exons: 2
Source: RefSeq, a predicted model, not a curated record